RNAcentral lists this transfer RNA (77 nucleotides) under Acidiphilium sp. CAG:727. Its description in RNAcentral is "transfer RNA-Arg(CCG)". It matches the Rfam family "tRNA". From Rfam's summary of the family: Transfer RNA (tRNA) molecules are approximately 80 nucleotides in length. Their secondary structure includes four short double-helical elements and three loops (D, anti-codon, and T loops). Lineage: Bacteria; Pseudomonadati; Pseudomonadota; Alphaproteobacteria; Acetobacterales; Acidocellaceae. The record is from RNAcentral. RNAcentral also lists the same sequence under 2 other names.
GUACCCGUAGCGCAAUUGGAUAGAGUUUCAGAUUCCGAUUCUGACGGUUGCAGGUUCGAGUCCUGUCGGGUACACCA